This 512-nucleotide ribosomal RNA is filed under the name uncultured bacterium. Its description in RNAcentral is "bacterial SSU rRNA". It matches the Rfam family "Bacterial small subunit ribosomal RNA", at positions 157 to 684 of the family's 1533-position model. The record is from RNAcentral.
UGGGUGGUAAUGCCGGAUGCUCCAGUUGAUCGCAUGGUCUUCUGGGAAAGCUUUCGCGGUAUGGGAUGGGGUCGCGUCCUAUCAGCUUGACGGCGGGGUAACGGCCCACCGUGGCUUCGACGGGUAGCCGGCCUGAGAGGGCGACCGGCCACAUUGGGACUGAGAUACGGCCCAGACUCCUACGGGAGGCAGCAGUGGGGAAUAUUGCACAAUGGGCGCAAGCCUGAUGCAGCGACGCCGCGUGAGGGAUGGAGGCCUUCGGGUUGUAAACCUCUUUUAUCGGGGAGCAAGCGAGAGUGAGUUUACCCGUUGAAUACGCACCGGCUAACUACGUGCCAGCAGCCGCGGUAAUACGUAGGGUGCAAGCGUUAUCCGGAAUUAUUGGGCGUAAAGGGCUCGUAGGCGGUUCGUCGCGUCCGGUGUGAAAGUCCAUCGCUUAACGGUGGAUCCGCGCCGGGUACGGGCGGGCUUGAGUGCGGUAGGGGAGACUGGAAUUCCCGGUGUAACGGUGG